AGCGAACGCUGGCGGCAGGCCUAACACAUGCAAGUCGAACGAACUCUUCGGAGUUAGUGGCGGAUGGGUGUGUAACACGUGGGAACGUGCCUUUUGGUUCGGAAUAACUCAGGGAAACUUGUGCUAAUACCGAAUGUGCCCUUCGGGGGAAAGAUUUAUCGCCAUUAGAGCGGCCCGCGUCUGAUUAGCUAGUUGGUGAGGUAACGGCUCACCAAGGCGACGAUCAGUAGCUGGUCUGAGAGGAUGACCAGCCACACUGGGACUGAGACACGGCCCAGACUCCUACGGGAGGCAGCAGUGGGGAAUCUUGCGCAAUGGGCGAAAGCCUGACGCAGCCAUGCCGCGUGAAUGAUGAAGGUCUUAGGAUUGUAAAAUUCUUUCACCGGGGACGAUAAUGACGGUACCCGGAGAAGAAGCCCCGGCUAACUUCGUG
This 433-nucleotide ribosomal RNA is filed under the name uncultured bacterium. Its description in RNAcentral is "partial 16S ribosomal RNA". It matches the Rfam family "Bacterial small subunit ribosomal RNA", at positions 29 to 507 of the family's 1533-position model. The record is from RNAcentral.